This 442-nucleotide ribosomal RNA is filed under the name uncultured bacterium. RNAcentral's name for it is "partial 16S ribosomal RNA". It matches the Rfam family "Bacterial small subunit ribosomal RNA", at positions 338 to 795 of the family's 1533-position model. The record is from RNAcentral.
CCUACGGGGGGCAGCAGUGGGGGAUAUUGCACAAUGGGGGAAACCCUGAUGCAGCGACGCCGCGUGGGCGAAGAAGUAUUUCGGUAUGUAAAGCCCUAUCAGCAGGGAAGAAGAAAUGACGGUACCUGAGUAAGAAGCACCGGCUAAAUACGUGCCAGCAGCCGCGGUAAUACGUAGGGUGCAAGCGUUAUCCGGAUUUACUGGGUGUAAAGGGAGCGAAGACGGGACGGCAAGCCUGAUGUGAAAGCCCUCGGCGCAACCGCGGGACUGCAUUGGGAACUACUGGGCUGGAGUACUGGAGAGGUAGGCGGAAUUCCUAGUGUAGCGGUGAAAUGCAUAGAUAUUAGGAGGAACACCAGUGGCGAAGGCGACCUACUGGACAGUGACUGACGCUGAGGCACGAAAGCGUGGGGAGCAAACAGGAUUAGAUACCCCGGUAGUC